UGUGGCGCACGCGGGGUGGGGUCCCCGGAUUAUGGGUGGCCAGGUGCGUGACGUCAUUUAUGGACGGCCCCUUUGUCUUUCUUCCACACGGGCCAGACAUCUUGCCAGAGGUGGGAGCAGCCAGACUUGUCCUCACCAGGCAAAACGAAAUGUGGAGCGAAACGUCGGAAAUCGUGUCGAACAACACGUGGUGCAACCCAGAAACACGUGCAAGGGCUACACACUGGAAAUGGUGUCUGAGUGAACUUAGAAACUGUGCACUUUGUAUUCGUGGAAAUCACUAUGUGCUUCACUUGUGGGUUUAUUUCACCCGGGAAAGCCUCAAUGAGUCUCAAGCACUCUUUUUCAGGAGGCUCCUGCCACAUUUUCAUCGUCAGGGGCGAUGUUGCUGCUAUGUUUAAUCCUAAUUGAGUAAUUUGCAGGUGCAUUUUUAGAAUUAGGAUGUUUGGCCAAUAUCAUUUACAUUGUAUGCUAUGGGCGGAAACCGGAGAACCCAGAGGGAACCCAAGCGGAGCAGCGGAAAGAACACACAAACUCCAAACAGUAAGGUGCCCGAGUCGGGAAUCGAACCCAGGGCCUUCUUGCUGUGCAGUAUCAGUGUUACCACUGUCAUCCAAAUGCACUUAAUUUCCAUGGAGUGGAUCUAUCUGUGCGGAGCUCUGAGUGAUAUCCGCUCGCGCGCGUGGGUCUUUCUCCUAGUGCCCCAGCGUCCUCCCUCAUGACAAACACUCACGAAUGGGAAUUGCCAAACGUCUCAAUGCAAAACAUGUAAAUACAGGGCAUCAUUAUUAUUAUCAUCACAGUAAACGUGUUCAUCGGCCACUCCACAUUGCGCAAGAAUGUGCCAGUAUGGGCGCAUCGCGCAGGCAUGUAUAAUGUGCACAUACCUGUGCAGUGUACAAACCGUGCACGCGUAUGUUUACCUGACUCACACUGCUAUGUUCAGGUACAAUGUGUUUUUGAUACACAUCAGCGGCUAACCUCAACGCGUGCUGUCGUUGCAACUAUGAGUUCAAAAACCAAAGUUACAUUGAUAUGGUUUUUUUAGGCAGUACCGUAUCCUCUGAAUAAUAAGACCUUUCGAAAAAUAAUCAUUUUAAAGUUGGGGGAUGUGUCUUAUACACCAGUGCGCCCUUGUCAAUCAAGUUACAAUUGUGCUCAGUGUCCAACCUAAAUUCAGCCACUCGGUUUAUGGUGCCACUCGGUCUUUGGUGCCACUCGGUCUUUGGUGCCACUCGAUUUACAUGCCACUCAAUGGUGCCGCCCGGUCUGUAUAUAUACUUGUGGGGACAACAGUGUGGGGUUUUGCUUCUACUGGAUAUGCUUCUACUGGGUAAUGUAAUUCUCACAGUAGGUGUAAUGUCACUGGACACUUUACUCCUGUUGCAUGUGCCCAUGUGAAUGUUUUUGUUGUUGUUGUUGAUGUAUUUUCCUCCAAACAUUGGGGGGUUGCUUCUUAUUUUCCAGCUCGUCUCGCAAACAGGUAGUUAUUCUGCUAGUUAUGCUGGUAGUUAUGCUGGUAGUUAUGCUGGUUUCUCGGCUGGGCUUGCUCUGGUUUGCGCUGGUCAGCUUAUGACAAGACUUACCAUCACCGAACUCAUGUCACGAUUAAAAAAAGAGAAUGUGGCGCUUUAACCACCGUUCAGCUGCGUUAGACUUGAAACGCCUCUACAUUCACGAUCAUGUGUGUACGUGCACACACACUCACGUUGGAGCUUCAGUAAACAUUUGGGAAGGCACUUUUGGAUACUUUUAUCAGCAAUUAAGCAUGGAACUAAUAGGUCAACGUUUACUUGCUUCUCAUUCAACAUUCUGUUAAUUAUCUUCUAAUGCACAGCACUUAAAUUCUGGACUCUCAAGUGACCCAGAUGCCAUUCGCCUAGAAGCCCUACACAGGCUGAUGGGCUAAAAUAUAGAUAUUUUACAUGCAGAGACAAAUGAAGGUGAAUAUAUUUUAUUACUCACAAUUGUCCACAUUCGCAUAAGGGAUUCCAGGGAUUAUGUUCGUGUGAGUAAAACUACUCACAUGCAAGUGCUUACCAAAUACUUUAACAUUCCAAACAGUACUCCAAAUAUUCCCUCCUGUUAUCUUCCAGUUCCUAACUCAACAUUGGCGCCUCCUAAUCACACCUUUAUAGCUACGGCAGGACCAUGGUUAACUGUUCCCACCAACAUCAUGGGACCUCCUUUGCCAGUACCAAAAUAUACUAAUAGGGUUUUUCCCCUUUUUUCUGGC
Long non-coding RNA from Lethenteron reissneri (Far Eastern brook lamprey), 2236 nucleotides. RefSeq lists it as uncharacterized. NCBI's taxonomy places the organism in Eukaryota, Metazoa, Chordata, Hyperoartia, Petromyzontiformes, Petromyzontidae. The record is from RefSeq and is a predicted model, not a curated record.